RNAcentral lists this ribosomal RNA (1435 nucleotides) under uncultured organism. RNAcentral describes it as "16S ribosomal RNA". It matches the Rfam family "Bacterial small subunit ribosomal RNA". The record is from RNAcentral.
GCUUAACACAUGCAAGUCGAGGGGCAUCAGGAAUAAAGCUUGCUUUCUUUGCUGGCGACCGGCGCACGGGUGAGUAACACGUAUCCAACCUGCCCUUUACUCGGGGAUAGCCUUUCGAAAGAAAGAUUAAUACCCGAUAGCAUAAUGAUUCCGCAUGGUUUCAUUAUUAAAGGAUUCCGGUAAAGGAUGGGGAUGCGUUCCAUUAGGUUGUUGGUGAGGUAACGGCCCACCAAGCCUUCGAUGGAUAGGGGUUCUGAGAGGAAGGUCCCCCACAUUGGAACUGAGACACGGUCCAAACUCCUACGGGAGGCAGCAGUGAGGAAUAUUGGUCAAUGGGCGCUAGCCUGAACCAGCCAAGUAGCGUGAAGGAUGAAGGCUCUAUGGGUCGUAAACUUCUUUUAUGUAAGAAUAAAGUGCAGUAUGUAUACUGUUUUGUAUGUAUUAUAUGAAUAAGGAUCGGCUAACUCCGUGCCAGCAGCCGCGGUAAUACGGAGGAUCCGAGCGUUAUCCGGAUUUAUUGGGUUUAAAGGGAGCGUAGGUGGACUGGUAAGUCAGUUGUGAAAGUUUGCGGCUCAACCGUAAAAUUGCAGUUGAUACUGUCAGUCUUGAGUACAGUAGAGGUGGGCGGAAUUCGUGGUGUAGCGGUGAAAUGCUUAGAUAUCACGAAGAACUCCGAUUGCGAAGGCAGCUCACUGGACUGCAACUGACACUGAUGCUCGAAAGUGUGGGUAUCAAACAGGAUUAGAUACCCUGGUAGUCCACACAGUAAACGAUGAAUACUCGCUGUUUGCGAUAUACAGUAAGCGGCCAAGCGAAAGCAUUAAGUAUUCCACCUGGGGAGUACGCCGGCAACGGUGAAACUCAAAGGAAUUGACGGGGGCCCGCACAAGCGGAGGAACAUGUGGUUUAAUUCGAUGAUACGCGAGGAACCUUACCCGGGCUUAAAUUGCAGUGGAAUGAUGUGGAAACAUGUCAGUGAGCAAUCACCGCUGUGAAGGUGCUGCAUGGUUGUCGUCAGCUCGUGCCGUGAGGUGUCGGCUUAAGUGCCAUAACGAGCGCAACCCUUAUCUUUAGUUACUAACAGGUUAUGCUGAGGACUCUAGAGAGACUGCCGUCGUAAGAUGUGAGGGAGGUGGGGAUGACGUCAAAUCAGCACGGCCCUUACGUCCGGGGCUACGCACGUGUUACAAUGGGGGGUACAGAAGGCAGCUAGCGGGUGACCGUAUGCUAAUCCCAAAAUCCUCUCUCAGUUCGGAUCGAAGUCUGCAACCCGACUUCGUGAAGCUGGAUUCGCUAGUAAUCGCGCAUCAGCCACGGCGCGGCGAAUACGUUCCCGGGCCUUGUACACACCGCCCGUCAAGCCAUGGGAGCCGGGGGUACCUGAAGUACGUAACCGCAAGGAUCGUCCUAGGGUAAAACUGGUGACUGGGGCUAA